CCUGAGUCUGGGCUCACCGUUGGGAGUGAGCCACCCCGAGAGAACUGGGUAAGCGGGGCCCUGCACCCAGGGGCGCUGACACGUGGGUGGCGUGUAAUGGGCGCAUGGAGACUUGGUCGACUGUCCUGAUGAUACUGAUCCUAGGAAGUGCCGUCAGAUGCGAUAACUGACGAUUUCACACGAUCUGACCGCAGUCGCUGAGACCUCGGUAGUUCGGUUGCAGUUAACAGCAGAAUCCGCCCUAAAUGCAUGUCCUUCCUUUUCCGACAGCGACCCACCGAAGAGGGCCGAGGUCGGAGCGGCGCUGCGCCCUGCGGUUGCAUAUGAAUGAACUGGCAAGAGCUGAGGACUGCAGUGGAGCAUUGGCCUGCAACGAGGCUCUGAGUGCUGAAGAAUGGUGACCAGUGCAGGCCAAAGCUGGUGAUGGUGGUGGUGAUGGUGGCAGCGGCAGCAGCUUACCCUGGGGACAGGCUGUUUUUCCAGAGAAUGGUCCGCCAUGCUGCAGCAGGGGCAGAACUUGAAGUUCCAAGGACCAGUAGUCACCAUCAAUUUGGACUCCAGACUGAAACCUAGGCUUCAGCAUUUGGUGUAGAAAGUCUCACCUUGCCCCACUGGCUUGGCUCAGUGGAUAGAGCAUCGGCCUGCGGACUCAAGGGUCCCAGGUUCAAUUCCAGUCAAGGGCACAUGCCCAGCUUGCAGGCUUCAAU
Long non-coding RNA from Myotis lucifugus (little brown bat), 707 nucleotides. RefSeq lists it as uncharacterized. Lineage: Eukaryota; Metazoa; Chordata; Mammalia; Chiroptera; Vespertilionidae. The record is from RefSeq and is a predicted model, not a curated record. The transcript has 4 exons.